UGCGGAAGGAUCAUUA
This 16-nucleotide non-coding RNA is filed under the name Saprolegnia ferax. RNAcentral also lists the same sequence under 386 other names. The record is from RNAcentral. Lineage: Eukaryota; Oomycota; Saprolegniomycetes; Saprolegniales; Saprolegniaceae.